GGGCUCUUGGCACAGGGGUAGCGCGCACGCUUCGCAUUGUUGGCAUUGCGUGAGGUCGUGGGUUCAAUUCCCACAGUGUCCA
RNAcentral lists this transfer RNA (82 nucleotides) under Laccaria amethystina LaAM-08-1. It matches the Rfam family "tRNA". From Rfam's summary of the family: Transfer RNA (tRNA) molecules are approximately 80 nucleotides in length. Their secondary structure includes four short double-helical elements and three loops (D, anti-codon, and T loops). Lineage: Eukaryota; Fungi; Basidiomycota; Agaricomycetes; Agaricales; Hydnangiaceae. The record is from Rfam by way of RNAcentral.